UGCCAGCCGCCGCGGUAAUACGGAGGGUGCAAGCGUUGUUCGGAAUUACUGGGCGUAAAGCGCGCGUAGGCGGCUAUUUAAGUCAGAUGUGAAAGUCCACGGCUCAACCGUGGAAGUGCAUUUGAAACUGGAUGGCUUGAGUACUGGAGGGGGUGGUGGAAUUCCCGGUGUAGAGGUGAAAUUCGUAGAUAUCGGGAGGAAUACCGGUGGCGAAGGCGACCACCUGGUCGGAAACUGACGCUGAGGUGCGAUAGCGUGGGUAGCGAACGGGAUUAGAUA
This 279-nucleotide ribosomal RNA is filed under the name uncultured bacterium. RNAcentral describes it as "partial 16S ribosomal RNA". It matches the Rfam family "Bacterial small subunit ribosomal RNA", at positions 506 to 784 of the family's 1533-position model. The record is from RNAcentral.